RNAcentral lists this ribosomal RNA (497 nucleotides) under uncultured bacterium. Its description in RNAcentral is "partial 16S ribosomal RNA". It matches the Rfam family "Bacterial small subunit ribosomal RNA", at positions 28 to 507 of the family's 1533-position model. The record is from RNAcentral.
GAUGAACGCUGGCGGCGUGCCUAAUACAUGCAAGUCGAGCGAACAGACGAGGAGCUUGCUCCUCUGACGUUAGCGGCGGACGGGUGAGUAACACGUGGAUAACCUACCUAUAAGACUGGGAUAACUUCGGGAAACCGGAGCUAAUACCGGAUAAUAUAUUGAACCGCAUGGUUCAAUAGUGAAAGACGGUUUUGCUGUCACUUAUAGAUGUAUCCGCGCCGCAUUAGCUAGUUGGUAAGGUAACGGCUUACCAAGGCGACGAUGCGUAGCCGACCCGAGAGGGUGAUCGGCCACACUGGAACUGAGACACGGUCCAGACUCCUACGGGAGGCAGCAGUAGGGAAUCUUCCGCAAUGGGCGAAAGCCUGACGGAGCAACGCCGCGUGAGUGAUGAAGGUCUUCGGAUCGUAAAACUCUGUUAUUAGGGAAGAACAAAUGUGUAAGUAACUAUGCACGUCUUGACGGUACCUAAUCAGAAAGCCACGGCUAACUACGUG